This 250-nucleotide ribosomal RNA is filed under the name uncultured bacterium. RNAcentral's name for it is "partial 16S ribosomal RNA". It matches the Rfam family "Bacterial small subunit ribosomal RNA", at positions 524 to 773 of the family's 1533-position model. The record is from RNAcentral.
UACGUAGGGUGCGAGCGUUAAUCGGAAUUACUGGGCGUAAAGGGUGCGUAGGCGGAAUUACAAGUUAGAUGUGAAAUACCUGAGCUUAACUUAGGAGGUGCAUUUAAGACUGUAGAUCUAGAGUUAGUAAGAGGAUGGGGGAAUUCCGAGUGUAGCAGUGAAAUGCGUAGAGAUUCGGAGGAAUACCGGUGGCGAAGGCGCCCAUCUGGGAUAUAACUGACGCUGAGGCACGAAAGCGUGGGGAGCAAAC